GUGACCUCAGGAUAGUGACAAGCCUACACCGUGUGGUGCUGGCAAAGAAAAUUCCUGGAGAUGAAAACUGACGUGGGGUCCAGGGGUUAAUUUCUGGAACAGACAAAUUUGCAUACAAAUGAAAAAUGAUGGGAUUUCCGUUCUCCUAAAUUUUCAAUGUCAUCAGCAUCAAACAGCAGCCUUGCUCCCUUGCCGUUUGAAGAAUAUUCAUUACUUGAGAAGAAGGGGCACCUUGUUUGGUGUUCAACUCAAUGCAGGUCAAUGACUUAAUUUGUGAAACUUCAUCUGGAGGGAAUAUCCUUACUCUUGAAAGCCAGGGAUGUUUGUGGCACUGGAGACCAUAAGACGGCGAUGAUAAAGUAUUAUUCUGCCAGAGAGAAUGGUAAAGAAGAACCAGCAAGGAUGGCUGGAAUGAAAAAUGAAGUGGAGUUACUGGGACAGAUAGGAGGCAGUUUAUAGACAAAGACGUGAGAGAAGGAAAGCAGGGAACAGAAGAGAAGUUUCAAAAUAUGAAAUCAGCAAUCCACUAAACAUCCAAAAAGACGAAGACCCUGGACUCAACAACUUUCCCUGAAUGUAAGUGAAAAGAUGCAUGUACUACCAGAAGCUGUGGCUGCCUGAAUUUUGAAACACUUUCAUCAGAACAACUCCAGUUCUGGCUCUGAAAAGACAAUGGGGUCAACUGUUGGAAGAGGGUAGUACUGCUCAUUUCUCCAGAAAAAAAUCUGAUCACACAUUAAAACAUUAUUGUCAAAAUAAGAGCCCGAAAAAGUCGUUCCACUAAAAUGGAAACACUACAAGAAAAAGUGGCCUUGACUCAAUUGAAGAAGGGUUUGUUGGAGUCCACCUCACCGUCACUCUAAGGAAUCUAUUGCUUCAGCCAUUUGAAAAAUGACUGUUAUAUUCACUACCAAUUUUUUUGUUGUUGUCUUUUUUUAGGGCUACACCCACGACAUACAGAAGUUCCCAGGCUAGGGGUUGAAUAGAAACUGCAGCUCCCUGCCUAUACCACAGCCACAGCAAGGCCAGAUCUGAGCUGAGUCUUCAACCCUCACCAGAGCUCAUGGCAAUGCUAGAUCCUUAACCCACUGAGCAAGGCCAGGACUGAACCUGUGUCCUCAUGGAUACUAGUUGGGUUAGUUACCCCUGAGUCACAAUGGGAAUUCCACUAUUGAUUUUCUUAUUAACAGUUCAUCCAUUUGUAUUAAGCUCUGUGUAUUUCCAAAGUGGUUUUGCCUACGUACCUCUUAAACUGAGGCAUUUAGAUUAGAUUUUUAAUCUUCAUAUUAUAAAUUUAAAAGGGAAAAAUCUUUAGAACAUUAUUAAAAUCUCAAAGAUAUGAAAACAGCUAGAAGAAAUUCAGUCAAAUUCCCAAGAUGCUAUGUUCUUGGUUUCCCAAAGACUGAACUUUCAUUUCUUUUGUGGAUUGAGAAUGUGUCAUAAUGACAGAUAUGCCUGGCACACGGUGUUACUCAAUAAAUAUAUGUUAAACUAAACCUAAUAUUCCCAUUAUAAUGAAGUCAAAUAGAAAUAGAUUUUAAUUUUAAAUCUCUCAUGUAAUUACUCUUUUUUAGCUUUUUUUUUUUUUUUUUUUUUUUUUUUUCUUUUUUUUUUUGCCUUUCCUAGGACCGCUCCCACAGCAUAUGGAGGUUCCCAGGCUAGGGGUCUAAUCGGAGCUGGAGCCACCGGCCUACACCAGAGCCACAGCAACACAGGAUCCGAGCCACGUCUGCAACCUACACCACAGCUCUCAGCAACACCAGAUCCUUAACCCACUGAGCAAGGCCAGGGUCGAACCUAUAUCCUCAUGGAUGCUAGUCAGAUUCCUUUCCUCUGAGCCAUGAGGGGAGCUCCAGGAAUAACAAUUCUUAUCUUGUACUGCAUCAGUGGUAUGCUAGUAAAUGUUUAACUUGACCAUUCUCUCCCCUCCCCCCACUCCCCACCCCCCAUAAAAAGGGCCUGGUGUGUAGAUUUUGCCAGUUUCCAUGGUGUAAGUACUCCCACCAUUGACAAUUUCAAGCUUCCAACAUGACAUCACUGAAUACUAGGCUGGUAAGGGCUGUGAAUAAUCGACUCCUAUGAGCUAAUAGAAGCUGAUUCCAGCACACCACUGAAUGACUUUAAAUUUAUGGUUUGAUUUCAAGGAAUUGCUCUUCUGUGUUACUAUAAUUUGUGACACUAAGGCUAUCUUAAGAUGUAGUAGUAUAGUGGAGAUAUUGAUGCCAGGCUGUUGGACCCCUUGUAUGCUGUGAUGCUUCCAUUUCCUGACUGCUGUGGGUGUGGGCGGAUAACCAUUCGUAGCUGUCCCUUCUCUGCCAAAUUGCCCUUGACUGGGAGGUGCCUUACCCAGGAAGUCUACAUACCCACCUUCAACACUGCCUCUCUUAUGAUGGACUAUAGACAGUGACUGUCUGACAGGGGUAAAACACUGGUGUCCUUUUGCCUCAAACUGUGACCAACUCGGUGGUACCAUUUGUGCUCCAGAACUUCUUGUGGGAACAAAACAAGCCAAGACCACAUCCAUUCUUUGUUCCUUCCCCUGCCUUCUCCAGUCUCCCUCAGUCCCAUGGGUCUGGGAAUUUAGAGGUGGAUGUAGGAACAGUCCUCCUUUUUAUUAUAUAGAAUAACCCGCUUGGUGAAUCUCUGCUUCCUGUCUCUGAAACUUUGGGCUCUGUAGUGCUUGAGGUCCUAGUUCUCAGACGAGGAUGCUUCCAUCAGGGAUCACAGUAAAACCCAAUAAAACUCAGUCACCACUGUCAUUUCACUUUGGGCUCUCCUUAUAACUGAUCAUAAUUAUCAUAAAAAUGUAGGGCUGCUGGUACACAGUAAUAAAGAGGUGUGCCUCUCCUUCCCAUUGUCAUGUGUACUUGUGAAGAGCAAGUACAACAACCACAGCUUGAGAAGGACAUGGAACUAGAGCCCAGAGAUGAGGGCCUGGAUCAAACUACCAGGCAAGCCCCUAGGACCAAUCAGAGUGCUCACUAAAGGAGGCAAGAGUCUAAGGUCGAUGAAAAGGUGGGAGAGGCCAAAUAUUAGUGACUGCCUCAGGGUCAAGUGCUGUAGCCAGGGCAGUAGUUUGUCCCACUAACCAACCUUUUUUAAGUUUUCCUGGAAAUUCUGACCAGAAUCCUGAAGAAGCUGUGCCUAGAUGAAAAUGCUUUUAUCCUAGGCCAUUCCAUUGCCUAAGGCAAAAGAUUUUAUGUUUUCCUCUGCACUGUGGUCUCUGUUUUUUGAUAGACCGCUAACAAUUAUUCAGUCCAAAUUUGGAGUAUGUGAGUGCAUGCAUGAGUGCUUGCACGUGUGUGUCUGUAUGUUUUGAACAUGGUGAUAUUUGCAACCUUGAAAACCAUUCAGUAAUAACCAAGGUUGCUAGAGUAGGUCAUGAAUCAUGCCAGCUGGCUCUCCUGCAGAUUCAUACCAUCCAACCUCAGCUGGGCUCUCAUAUGCUGUGCUGCUCUGUAAUCUCUUUGCCUCUGUUUUUUUCCCUAUUGUAUUUCUCACAGCUGCUCUUCCAUACCCUCUCCCUUCACCCUGAAUCCAGAAAAAUAUUCCUGUACAUUUCAUACCAGCAGAUGACUCAGAACAUGCUCUAGUGAUUGAAGGUACCCAGUCGCAACUCUAAUGUCUUCAUCCUCAUUUGGCUUUGGGGAUGAUGUUCUCUUGUGGGUCUGUCUUUCCAUUGCUCACUCCUACUCUUUUCAACAAUAAACCGGGAACAAAACACAUCAACAUCCUCUUAUCUAUUCUGUCAAUUAGGUGUUCACAAGUUUUCUCUUGCAAAUCUGCACUUGAUUAGCAUUGCCUAGCUCAGAACUUCAUUUUCCCCCUUCUAGGCAGCAGUAGCCAUCAAUAUCUCUCUUUUGUAUGUCCAUCAAAAUAAUCUUUCCAAAACCUAGACUUGAGUCAUUUGUCCUACACAGACUUUCUUUUUGUUUUUACUUUUUAUUGCAAAUAAAUUAUUUUGUAUUUUACUGUGAAUAUAAUAUUUUAUAUUGUGAAAGAUAGCCAGCCAUACCAGAAGAAUGUAUAUAAUAUAUAAGUAGAAUUUACAAAAAGAAGAAAAUUAUCACUGCUUAUAAUUCAGCCUAAAAAAUAAGAUAUUAUCUUUGUAUUUAUAAGCCUAUGUUUUAUAAGUUUCUACUCAGUUGAGGCCCCUUCCUCUCCUAAACAUAACUGCUAUCCUGAAUUAUGUUAAUUAUUUCCUUGUUUUCCUUAAAGUUUAUCAUAUAUGUCUAUGUACUAAGCUGUAUAGGGAUUAUACAUGGAUAUAUUUAUAAAAAUAUGAAUCAGCAUUAUUUUGUUUUGCCUUUUUUGUACUUUAUGUAAAAGGAAUCAUAAUGUGUUGCUCUGUGACGUGAUGUUAUGUUUUAAAGAUCCAUUUAUGUUGAUGAUUUAUCAGUAAUUUGUGUUUCACUGUUGCAUAGGACUGUAUUCCUAUGCAACAGCAAAUAUUCAAUUAUAACAUACACCUGAAACUCAUGCAAUGUUAUUUAUCAAUUUUAUCUCAACAAAAAUAAUGCAUUUCAAUUUUUUAAUUCUACUAUUAUUAGAUACUUGGAUUGAUUUUUUGCUACCAAAAAAUGGGUUGCUGUGGACCAGAAGUUUGGGGUUAGUAGAUGCAAACUGUUGCAUUUGGAGUGGAUAAGCAAUGAGAUCCUGCUGUAUAGCACAGGGAACUGUAUCUAGUCACUUGUGAUGGUACAUGAUGGAGGAUAAUGAGAGAAAAAAAUUAUUUUUCUUUGCUGUACAGCAGAAAUUGACAGAACAUUGUAAAUCAACUGUAAUAGAAAAAAUAAAAAUCUUGAAAAAAAA
This 4812-nucleotide long non-coding RNA is filed under the name Sus scrofa (pig). RNAcentral's name for it is "lncRNA (ENSSSCG00040016747.1)". The record is from RNAcentral. Lineage: Eukaryota; Metazoa; Chordata; Mammalia; Artiodactyla; Suidae.